RNAcentral lists this long non-coding RNA (2870 nucleotides) under Brassica rapa (field mustard). Its description in RNAcentral is "long non-coding RNA (BRAP_LNC000019)". The record is from RNAcentral. Lineage: Eukaryota; Viridiplantae; Streptophyta; Magnoliopsida; Brassicales; Brassicaceae.
UCACCAUCACCUUGAGAGAAAUGCAUGUCACCAGUGCUUAAGUUAGCUCCUUCCACAAACACUGGAAGAUAUAUUUUAGAGCCUCUGCUUAGGUUCUUUAUGUCACAGUUUCCUCCGUUUUCUCUUCCUGGGAUUGUUCUCGCAGCCUCCUUUGCAAUCCUUUCCCAUUCCGGUGUCCCCUCUUCCAUCUACAUUGAGUUCAAAGGUAAGUACACACUUGGAAAAAAAUUUCUCAUGGCAUCACCAAUAUAACUUACUUACGGCUUGGACGAAACUAAUAUUACAUGCUAUGCUAUGGUUUCAGCCCGAACCUCCUAAUAUUCCAAAAAAAAAAAAAAACUUACGUUCCCUAGGAGACAUCCUUUAGCUAUUGGUAGGUUUGCAAGUGGGCGUUGAUGCACAACCUCACAUAGUGUUAGGGAACUGAGACCACUUUCUUCUAAUUGUCUCUCCCUUUCAUUCCAUAUUCUCAAAAGUUCUUUUGAUGGUGCAGUGCCAAUGAUGCCUGGGUGUGUCAAACCUGGAAACCUUACUCCUGCCAAAACGUUAUGUGUAUAAUCAUUGGACUCAUAACAAGGAACAGCUAGUAAUGUACAUGGAUGCAAUUGUGUCUUUACCAGGAAUCUGAGGAGAGUAGGCAUAGAUCCCUUCAAAGUACCAAAUAGCUUUGGUGGCACAAGGGAAAUGAUCAGUCAAGAAACCGCCACCGUUCUCUCUAUCAAACGAAGCUGUGAAGCCCCACUCAUCUCCUGGUAAUGGACCUAAGUUGCAUAUCUCAACAGCAAGAAGAUCACCUGGCUUUGCUGCAACACCUUCCUCAUCCACAACUUUGAUCGGUCCACUUAGGUAAUGAACCUGCACACACAAUCACCAAUAAACUUUUUAUCUAUAUGCAAGGUCUACUUAUGUUUCUCCCUUAAAACUUCCUUACAGUGGAGAGGUCUAAGCUCUUAAUAUCCUCAGCAGAGUCAUCAUCUUUGACUGCACCUCCAGUCCAGUCAACCAUUUCCACUCUAAAGAACUCACCAGCCUUGACCUCACCAACUGGUUGUAUCUCAGGAUGCCAUCUGUUAUGCAGAGGCUGUUCCUGCUCCCAUGGCCUCUUCUUCAAAUCCACUUUCACCACCACUCUCGGAGUUGCAGGAGCCAUUAAAACCGAUUACAGUAAGUACAGCAACUUCUAUUCUCUCUUUUCUUUUUUCUCUUGUAAUGGGAAGAGAGGAAUCAUUGGUUUGGCAGAUUCCUUAUCCACAAACUAAAGGACAAUAGACUUUUCUUUAUGGCCUUUAACUUUCUUUCAUCUUUGUGUAUGUGUGGCAAUGCAUCGAUCACAAUAAGUUGAAAAUGACAUUUUGUUGACUUAUGUAAUAAAGAGGGUCUUAUGUUAUAUGAUCAUAUCCAUCGUGACUGAGGAAUCUAUUAGUCUAUUUUGUUUCAGAAUCUGAUGCAUUCACUCUGAAAAUAGUGCAUAUAUAAAGAUUACAUAUACAUUUUAUUACUUGAGUUUAGUUUCCAACUUCCAACUAAGGAAAACCACAUUUGGUCUCUUUAUUUCAAAACAUACGGUUAAUUAAACAUGACAGACACAUUUCAUUAGCUAUGUUGAACAGCUUGGAUUCUUUGUAAUCGGAAGCUUUCCAUCAUAUGUGCUCUUCAGUACGUCCGGUUUCCUCACUAUCCGCGGUCCUGAUGGAACCUUCCGAGUCUUUGGCCUAAUGUCCUGCGUGAACAUACCAAAGCAUUUAAAAUAUUUUUCUAUCUUUCUCUUGUUAAUUAACUGAGGGACGCACAGUUUCAAACCUGAUCAAAGAUGGCAAUAGGUAUUGCUAGUGUAGCAACAGCAUUGGGAGAAUCAACAAUCCCAGAGAUUCUUCCUUCACAUGGACAACAUGAGAGCAACAGGUACGCCUGUUCACACCAUAUUCUCUUUUGAUCAGUUUCUAGCUUUUACUUCAUUAAUGUAUUAUUUAAUUAUGAUUAACCAUUACCUGUUCUUUUGAGUAACCAAAUUUGUUGAGAUAAUCUAUGGCGUUAAGAACCGCCCGUUUGUAAGCAACUGUUGCAUCAAGAUAGUGCUGUCUCCCGCUCUCAUCGACACUGAUACCCUCAAAGACAAGCCACUCCGAGAAUCUCGGUUCCACUGGUCCUAUCUCAAAGAUUGGGUUCACAUGGAGAGGAGUAGGUCCCAUUGGUGUAAGGUACUCUUUCAUCCCAUUCCUUAUGAUUUCACACCUAUUUCAUGAGUUUGAAAAAAACGUUACACAAUAACAAUAGUAUCAAAAUGUUUGGAAGAACUUGCAAAAGUAGAAACUUAUGUUACAUACUUGAGUUCUAGAAACCCAUUCAUCUCAAUGGCUCCACAGAAGGAGAUCUCACCAUCACCUUGAGAGAAAUGCAUAUCGCCAGUGCUUAGAUUAGCACCUUCCACAAACACAGGUAGAUAUAUCUUAGAGCCUGUGCUUAAGUUUUUAAUAUCACAGUUUCCUCCGUUUUCUCUUCCAGGUAAUGUCCUUGCAGCUUCAUUUGCAAUCCUUUCCCAUUCAGGUGCUUCCUUCUCAAUCUACAAAAGAGUUGUUGUAAUAAGAGUUCCUUAGAGGUCUGAGUUAAGUACUUUGGCCAUGUUUGUUUGUAAGUAGCAGCGGCUUGCAACUGGCUGAAGGUUGUUGAUUGUUCUUUUUUCGUGUUGUAGGUUGUUAUUAAUUUUAAGUAGCUGAAUAAAUUAGCGACUUAAAAAUAAACUUUUCCGCGAUCUGCGACUGGUAAACUACAAGGCCUUGUCGCAGCGACUUGCAAACGAACAUGGCCUUUGUCAUUGAAAAUACAAGGCUAACUACCACUUACGUGCCCUAGGAGGCAUCCUUUAGCCUUUG